UCCGUUGUGGUCUAGUGGUUAGGAUUUAUGGCUCUCACCCAUAAGCCGGGGUUCAAUUUCCCGCAACGGAA
This 71-nucleotide transfer RNA is filed under the name Caenorhabditis japonica. RNAcentral's name for it is "tRNA-Glu (CTC) (tRNA-Glu-CTC-7-1)". It matches the Rfam family "tRNA". Rfam says of the family: Transfer RNA (tRNA) molecules are approximately 80 nucleotides in length. Their secondary structure includes four short double-helical elements and three loops (D, anti-codon, and T loops). The record is from Rfam by way of RNAcentral. Lineage: Eukaryota; Metazoa; Nematoda; Chromadorea; Rhabditida; Rhabditidae.